AUUGAACGCUGGCGGCAUGCUUUACACAUGCAAGUCGAACGGCAGCACGGGCUUCGGCCUGGUGGCGAGUGGCGAACGGGUGAGUAAUAUAUCGGAACGUACCCAGAAGUGGGGGAUAACGUAGCGAAAGUUACGCUAAUACCGCAUACGAUCUAUGGAUGAAAGCAGGGGACCGCAAGGCCUUGUGCUCCUGGAGCGGCCGAUAUCUGAUUAGCUAGUUGGUGAGGUAAAGGCUCACCAAGGCGACGAUCAGUAGCUGGUCUGAGAGGACGACCAGCCAAACUGGACUGGAGCCCCGGCCCAGCCCCCUACGGGAGCACGCAGUGGGAAUUUUUGGCAAAGGGGCCCAACCCUGUCCCACCAAUGCCGCGGGAGUGAAGAAGGCCUUCGGGUUGUAAAGCUUUUUUGUAAGGGAAGAAACGGUAGAGGCUAAAAUCCUUUGCUAAUGCCGGUACCGGAAGAAUAAGCCCCGGCUACCUCCGU
This 483-nucleotide ribosomal RNA is filed under the name uncultured bacterium. RNAcentral describes it as "partial 16S ribosomal RNA". It matches the Rfam family "Bacterial small subunit ribosomal RNA", at positions 30 to 506 of the family's 1533-position model. The record is from RNAcentral.